UACAGAGGGUGCAAACGUUGUUCGGAAUUACUGGGCGUAAAGCGCGUGUAGGUGGAUUGGUGUGUCAGAUGUGAAAUCCCUGGGCUCAACCCAGGAACUGCACUUGAAACUACCAGUCUUGAGUGGUGGAGAGGGAAGUGGAAUUCCUGGUGUAGAGGUGAAAUUCGUAGAUAUCAGGAGGAACACCAGUGGCGAAGGCGGCUUCCUGGACAACAACUGACGCUGAGACGCGAAAGCGUGGGGAGCAAACAGG
This 253-nucleotide ribosomal RNA is filed under the name uncultured bacterium. RNAcentral's name for it is "partial 16S ribosomal RNA". It matches the Rfam family "Bacterial small subunit ribosomal RNA", at positions 524 to 776 of the family's 1533-position model. The record is from RNAcentral.